AGAGUUUGAUCCUGGCUCAGAACGAACGCUGGCGGCAUGCCUAACACAUGCAAGUCGAACGAAGGCUUCGGCCUUAGUGGCGCACGGGUGAGUAACGCGUGGGAACCUGCCCUUUUGUUCGGAAUAACGUUGGGAAACCGACGCUAAUACCGGAUACGCCCUACGGGGGAAAGAUUUAUCGCAGAAGGAGGGGCCCGCGUCGGAUUAGCUAGUUGGUGGGGUAAUGGCUUACCAAGGCGAUGAUCCGUAGCUGGUCUGAGAGGAUGAUCAGCCACACUGGGACUGAGACACGGCCCAGACUCCUACGGGAGGCAGCAGUGGGGAAUAUUGGACAAUGGGCGCAAGCCUGAUCCAGCAAUGCCGCGUGAGUGAUGAAGGCCUUAGGGUUGUAAAGCUCUUUCGCACGCGACGAUGAUGACGGUAGCGUGAGAAGAAGCCCCGGCUAACUUCGUGCCAGCAGCCGCGGUAAUACGAAGGGGGCUAGCGUUGUUCGGAAUUACUGGGCGUAAAGGGCGCGUAGGCGGUUUAUCAAGUUAGGCGUGAAAGCCCCGGGCUCAACCUGGGAAUUGCGCUUGAUACUGGUAGACUUGAGUUCGGGAGAGGUGAGUGGAAUUCCCAGUGUAGAGGUGAAAUUCGUAGAUAUUGGGAAGAACACCGGUGGCGAAGGCGGCUCACUGGACCGAUACUGACGCUGAGGCGCGAAAGCGUGGGGAGCAAACAGGAUUAGAUACCCUAGUAGUCC
Molecule: ribosomal RNA, 742 nt
Filed under: uncultured bacterium
Lineage: Bacteria
Description: bacterial SSU rRNA
Rfam family: Bacterial small subunit ribosomal RNA
Source: RNAcentral